GUGAAGUUUCACUCCAGAAGUGACAGUGUUAACAAAUACAGUGGAAGCUCUGUAAGCUGAGCUACAAGGUCACAUGCACGAGUUUUAUUUUUAACAUCCCAAAACUACUUGAUGUUUCUGUCUGGGCUUGCUCUGUGUCCUCCCAUUCUCUCCUCUUUCUUUGCUUGCAGUUCUCCCUUAUCCACCUCACUUCAACCCGUCUGAGCACAACCAGAAGAGCAAGUGUUUGGCACACCCACAGGGGCUCUAUGAUUAAGCACCGGGCUCAGAAAGCUCCCCCUGGGCAGCACAGGCACUGUGAGAGAUGUUUCAGCCGGCAGUGCCGUGCACCAAUUGAGCUCUCCACCUCCUGCAUGGUGAUCAGCUGCCGCUCUCACUGUGGGGCCACCUUCCACAUGUGCAAGGAGGAGGAACACCAGUUGCUCUGUCCCCUAGAGCAGGUCCCCUGCCUCAACUCGGCCUAUGGCUGCCCUUUUUCCAUGGCCCGUUUUAAGCUGGCGAAGCACCUCCAGGUCUGUCCAGCCAGUGUUGUCUGCUGCUCUAUGGAGUGGAAUCGCUGGCCAAACGUGGAUUCAGACACAACCCUUCACAAGAACAUUAUGAAGGAGACCUUGAACGAAGAGUGUCUGGACACUGCCUUGGCACUCAGAGACCAGAAGAUACUUUUCAGGACUUUGAAAAUAGCCAACUUGUUUCCAGAGUGGAGGAAAAAGGAUGAAGUGGAAGAGCUAAUGGAUGAAGCCAUUGGUGGGGAAGAAGGUGCUGUGGGAGGAGUAGCCUGUGGUUCCCAAGCAACUGACAACCAGUUGUCCCAGCUCAGCCAACAUGAACGUGAACUUUUGGCAAAGGACAAAGAGGGUAUGGACCUGGGGAGUUACAAAACGUGGGAGAACAUUUUCAGCAAAGAGCUCCUGGCUUGCAAGGUAACAGGCUCAGCAGACAGCACAGGACAGAAGACAGAGGAAGCUUCCAAGAAAACAGCGUCAGCCCCUCGUGCUACCAGCUCCACAGAGAAGGCAAAGGAGGUACCUGACAGGGCAGAAGAGGCAAAGGACCCAAAGCUUCAACAAGUAGCACCAAAUACAGAAAUGACAGGACUGGCUCCCUGGCAAGAAGGUGUCCUGGAGAGGCUGAAGAAGGAAGUUGGUGUAGGUGAUUACAACAUGUAUCUGGUACAUCACGGAGGAAUGCUCAUCCGCUUUGGCCAGCUAGCUGCUUGCACUCCCAAAGAAAAAGACUUUGUCUAUGGGAACUUGGAAGCUCAGGAGGUGAAGACUGUCUACACCUUCAAAGUGCCAGUUAGUUACUGCGGCAAAAGAGCACGACUAGGAGAUGCACUGGGCCACAAGAUGCCAACUUCAGACAAGUCAGUGGAUACCUCGGAACUGGGAAUAAAAAUUGAAGACCUGCCUAAGACAAAUAUAGUUAAAGCCACACUGCUGUGCGCACUGGAAAAAGAACUGAAAGGCCAUGAGAUCUCUGAAGCAAGGGGUAUCGAUGGACUCUUUGUGGAUUUUGCAACACAGACAUACAACUUUCCUCUGGAAUCCUUCUCCUCCAAUGCAGUUCUAGCAGAUAUUUUGGAUGAAAAAAGCCCACCAGAGCUCCAUGUGGAGCUCUACACUGAAUGUGUAACUAGAAGACACAACAAAAGCAGUUCAGCUUUCACAUUCACUUGCAGUCAUUUUUUCAGGAGGGAUGAGUUCCCAUCCCACUUCAAGAAUGUGCACACUGAUAUCCAGUCAUGUCUGGAUGGAUGGUUCCAGCAUCGCUGCCCACUGGCCUACCUGGGAUGUACUUUUGUUCAAAAUCACUUCCGCCCUGAUGGACUUAAGGCCAAAGUUAUAUACAGCAAGGCUCUCAAUACAUUUGCUAUUAGGCCAGAAGUAGACACCCUCCUUGGUGAAUCAGGGAAGUGCAUUUCCACAGUGGCUAAUCGAAGGAGAAAUACAGACUCGCUGAGCAGCCUCCCAGUGGAAGUGCUCAAGUACAUUGCAGGGUUCCUGGACAGCUUCAGUUUAUCUCAGCUAUCACAAGUGUCAGUGCUGAUGAGGGACAUCUGUGCCACUCUUCUUCAAGAGAGGGGAAUGGUCCUGCUCGUCUGGGAGAAAAAAAGGUAUUCCCAUGGUGGUACGUCGUGGAGAGCUCGCAAAAAGAUCUGGCAGUUCAGCAGCCUCUUCUCUAGAGUUAACAAGUGGCAGCACAAUGACAUCACGUGCAUGUCAGAGCACUUGAAGAACUGUCCCUUCUACCAAGUGGAGCACAAGACGGACCCCGUGCUGCUGACAGGCAUGUGUGAAUCUCGAGAGCAAACUCAAAAGACUUUGGUUUCUACUUUCAAGCGCAGACUCUGAACAACCUGCUUCCCCUCUGCCAUGCUACUCUCAGGGCCUUUUAAAACAAGAUUUGGGAAUUUGGGUGUAAAGAUUCUUGCUUUCAACUCUCCUUUGGACAUACAAAACGGGCUUCUACCUAGUUAUGGUUGGAACAUCCUGCAUUUUUUUUUUUUUCUACAGUAAUUUAGUUGUUCAAACUUCAUCCACACUGCUCACUGAUACCACAUGCUUUCUGGUUAUGUUUCUCUUCCUUGCUUAAUACAGCAUCCUGGAGCAAGCAAUAAGGAUCAUGUUUGAAAAGGCAUCUUCUCAACUUUGAAGCCCAUAGCCAGAAGUGUGAGCUCAGGACAUGAGGUCUGGCUUUCAUCUCACCACCUCGGGCAGGAGGACCCUACUGGGAGCUGGGACAUCUGCUAGCCUGGACCACAGCUCUUCUUGCUUGGGCUAGCCAGGCAAAAACUGGCCCAAGUGGAUGGACACAUGCUGCACUUAUUACCCCUGGUCUCAUUGCAGAUCUAGGAUAAGGCAGGCUACACAAGAAGGAGCCCUCUCUUACCGAUAAACUUUGCCGAUGCACCUGAGCUGAGCGUUUGGUAGUCAAAGGCAUUAAUUGUGUGGUGACCAAAACUGUGCUGUGUGCAGUUCAUCCUUGUCUACAUUUGUGGUUUAAGUGGUUCCUGUGAGAUUUUCAACCAUGUAAGGAUCUUUUUCUUCUCCACACACAUGCCCUCAGGAGCUAUUGUCUGAGUUGUGGCAACCGUGGAGUGGUCUCAGGAGCAGGAGUACCAGCAGUUAAUUUUUUUUUACGCUAUUUUGUUCUCUGUCCCUAGAGAUCCUUUCGGGGAAGUCUCAUAAUGCUUUUACAGAUGAGAAUAAACUUGUUUGUGCAGGUAUCCUGUGGAAAACACGAGAAGUUAUGCAGAGGAAACCGAAGCAAAUGAACAAGGGAACCUAAGCUGGGCCAAGAGUAGCUAAAGCUGGAUGCUCUGAUCCUUCAUGCUGUGGCUUGAGCCACUGCACAAAGCCAAACUGGCCAACAUUUAACAUUGUUUACAAAACUGGCCUGUCCUCAAAACAUCCCCCUAUGAAAUAGGUUCCCAAAUAUUGUCACUCUGUUUUAUGCAGGAAGUUGAGAGAGGUGAAAACAUAGAGUCAGACUUCCUAGGCCGGCCUCCACACCAGGGCCUCAUACUUCACUUGUCAUGUAUCUGACUGAAAGAUGCUGAGCUGCAGCAUGAUUCAUAGCUACAGAUCACAGCAGCUGGAAAUGCAUGUCCAAAAAUCCUGUAUCAGUAUCUGUGCUGGGUACUUAAAAUAGAGGCACUCAAAAUUUUAGACAAUUUGGGGAGGAAAAAAGAAG
Molecule: RNA transcript, 3696 nt
Organism: Columba livia (rock pigeon)
Lineage: Eukaryota; Metazoa; Chordata; Aves; Columbiformes; Columbidae
Gene: FBXO40
Gene name: F-box protein 40
Exons: 4
Source: RefSeq, a predicted model, not a curated record